GCCCAACCUCCCACCCGUGUAUACCGUACCUUGUUGCUUCGGCGGGCCCGCCGCGCAAGCGGCCGCCGGGGGGGCGUCAAACCCCCCUCCCUAGGCGAGCGCCCGCCGGAGACACCAACGUGAACACUGUCUGAAGUUUUGUUGUCUGAGUUCGAUUGUAUCGCAAUCAGUUAAAACUUUCAACAAUGGAUCUCUUGGUUCCGGCAUCGAUGAAGAACGCAGCGAAAUGCGAUAAUUAAUGUGAAUUGCAGAAUUCAGUGAAUCAUCGAGUCUUUGAACGCACAUUGCACCCCCUGGUAUUCCGGGGGGUAUGCCUGUCCGAGCGUCAUUGCUGCCCUCAAGCACGGCUUGUGUGUUGGGUCGUCGUCCCCCCCGGGGACGGGCCCGAAAGGCAGCGGCGGCACCGCGUCCGGUCCUCGAGCGUAUGGGGCUUUGUCACCCGCUCUUGUAGGCCCGGCCGGCGCUGGCCGACGCUGAAAAGCAACCAACUAUUUCUCCAGGUUGACCUCGGAUCAGGUAGGGAUACCCGCUGAACUUAAGCAUAUCAAUAAGCGGAGGA
RNAcentral lists this ribosomal RNA (559 nucleotides) under Aspergillus sclerotiorum. RNAcentral's name for it is "eukaryotic LSU rRNA". The stretch from base 175 to 328 matches the Rfam family "5.8S ribosomal RNA". Lineage: Eukaryota; Fungi; Ascomycota; Eurotiomycetes; Eurotiales; Aspergillaceae. The record is from RNAcentral.